RNAcentral lists this long non-coding RNA (269 nucleotides) under Elaeis guineensis (African oil palm). RNAcentral's name for it is "long non-coding RNA (EGUI_LNC017909)". Lineage: Eukaryota; Viridiplantae; Streptophyta; Magnoliopsida; Arecales; Arecaceae. The record is from RNAcentral.
CUAGAUGUAGGGUUACGGGCUGUUAUAGGUGCGUGGUCCAGAUGCCUUGGAAGUUGGCUGUGGUUCAACCCACAAAUCGCAAGUCUAACCUACUCAAAAAACUGAGUCCGAAUUAGUUUCUUUGGCUCCAAACCUCAAGUAGUUUGGAUCUAGGAUUGGACCACAUGGAUAUGCCAAGCAAUUCUAAUUCUAACUGACUUGGAUCAGGCCUCAGCUUCUGAACAAGUGCUCACCCUCCUGGAGAAAGGGAGAGUGCCACAGAGAGAGAG